CCCCUCCCGCCCCGGCGGGCCUGAGUCACCCUCGCCGUGCGUCACACUUGCUCCUCCCGCCACGCGACCUGCAAACUCACCCUGAGUCAGCCCGCCCGGGCGCUUCCACUCCCGGGGCCGCGGCCAGCGCCGGCGGAGGGGCGCCCCCCAGCGGAGACCCGUGAUCGCGCGGGUCGCGGGCGCCGGGGGAGCGGGGCGUGUGCGGGUGGAGACCGCGGGGACCGGCCGGACCACUGCGGGCCCGGGGGAGGCGCCUGCCUGCGGCCCCCGCCGGCGGCGCUGAGUGGUACGGCCCGGCCGGAGGUGAGGCCCGGGAGGCGGCGGGGCUAGCGGCGACCGCGCGAUGGGGCUGCGCGCUGGCGGCAGGACCGGCGCCAGCCGGGGGGCGCCCGAGGGUCCCGGGUCGGGCGGCGGCGCGCAGGGCGGCAGCAUCCACUCGGGCUGCAUCGCUGCGGUGCACAACGUGCCGCUGAGCGUGCUCAUCCGUCCACUGCCGUCGGUGCUGGACCCGGCCAAGGUGCAGAGCCUGGUGGACACGAUCCGGGUGCCAGACCCUGGCUUACAGGGCUGGACAGCCCUGCCCUGGAGAGCUCACCGUCUAGCGCUGGAUGCGAGCACCCUGAAAUACAGUGGAAAACAACCCCCUUCUCUGCCAUUGGGAAGCCGGCCGAUUCCAAAUGCCAGGGUGACGUGGGCAGAGGGGCCCCUCAUGCCCUGCUGAUGGGCGUGUGGACAGGGACAGUCAUGGUACGGUGCAGUUAGGUGAUACUGGGCUACGGAUGUGUAUUCUCUGGGCCCCACUCAUCCUGCCCUGGGUGCGGAUUCUGCAUAACACGCUCAGGAGCCCCUGAGAGUCACGCACCAGCCUUUGCUUUAGGAGGAGGAAGCUGCAGGUAACCAGCAUCCAGUCCCUCGCCACAGAAUGGGAAGAGGAGGCUGGUGAUCUGCAAACACCAAGCAGAUGAGAGUCAGCAAUCAGAAGCAACACACUCUGGGUAGACUCCGCACAGUGAGCGAUGCGGAGGACACAAAAUAAAACAAAAUAGCCUAAGAGAAAGAUCUAUGGAAACUACCACGGUGUAUAUUCAUGACCCGCUCACACAAAUGAGCACCAUCUAUGUUUUAUAAAGACCCACACACAUCGGAAGACAUGUACCCUGAAUAUUAGCAUGGACCUGUGCGCAUUGCAAUUUGGGAGGCUGAGGCAGGAGGAUCAAGAGUUUGAGGCCAGCCUCAGCAGCUAAGCAAGACCCUGUCUCAAAAUAAAAUAUAAAAAGGGCUGGGGAUCUAGCUCCGUGGUAGUUCAAUCUCCAGUUCCACCCACCUCCCCCAGCCCCCCAAAAAGAAAGAAAGAAAAGUAAGAAAGAGAGAAAGAAAGUAGCAUGGGUCCUGUGGGAGAUGGGAGGGGAUUCAGGAUGGAGGUAGUCACCGUGUGACGUGAUGCACACUACGAGACUUUUCCCCAGGACACAGGGACAAGAGCUACCGAGAAGCCACCAGGGACCUUGGCGGGGGAUCAGGGCUGUCUGGUCUGAGGCAAGGGGACUGGCCUCACCUGGGAAGGACAGCCAGGACAAAGACUCAGAAGUGUGCAAAGCUGGUUCUUUCAAGAAAACACAAGUGCCUCCGUAGCACAGAAGCUGGGGUGCCCACGACCCAGCGGGAGGGCAGUCCUGUGCUGGCCCGGUGGCCUGUAGGGCCCUCCUCUUCUUGCUCAGCAGACUCCCACUCAGUUCCCAGGAGCCUGUGGGCUGCCACAGAGGUGACGUCACGGGGAAGACACAAGAGCUCUGCAGCCAGGCCAACUUGCCCCCACCCGUCCUCUGUCCCACCUUGGGCAAGUCCCUCUCUCCUUGCCGAACCUCAGUUUCUCCGUCUGAAAAAUGGCAGAACCACAACACCCACCUCAGAAGGUUGCCAUGAGCAGGAAGGAGGGUGGCCGUCGUGACCUGGGAGGCAGCUGCUUGAAGGUGAGGGGAGUGGCCCCCCUUCGAGGGCCACGGAGAUGAGCCAGGGCCCCUGCGGAAUUUGCUCCAAACAGGACACCCAAGGAGGCCGGGAGUCAGCCAUUGGCUGCACAGGGGAGAAGACCCCAGAAGCCAAACCCACCCCUUUGUGUAGGGACCAGGGACAACGGCCGGGCAGGGCCUUUGGGACGUCUCCACUCCACCCUGGAGAGCUGUGAGGACCCAUUCAGCCCACUGAGGCCUGGCGGGUCAGAGACAAGGUGGAACUUUGGGGAAAAGACUGUUGGUGACAGAGGUGUCUGCGUGUCUGUGUGUGAGUGUGGCGUGUGUGAGCGAGAAUUGGUAGCUUAAGAUAAAAGUAUUUUUAAAUAAAAGAUGCCGUUCCCAGCUGAGGAA
Non-coding RNA from Ictidomys tridecemlineatus (thirteen-lined ground squirrel), 2363 nucleotides. Lineage: Eukaryota; Metazoa; Chordata; Mammalia; Rodentia; Sciuridae. The record is from RefSeq and is a predicted model, not a curated record.